UACGAAGGGUGCAAGCGUUAUUCGGAAUUACUGGGCGUAAAGCGUGCGUAGGUGGUUUGUUAAGUCUGAUGUGAAAGCCCUGGGCUCAACCUGGGAAUUGCAUUGGAUACUGGCAGGCUAGAGUGCGGUAGAGGAUGGCGGAAUUCCCGGUGUAGCAGUGAAAUGCGUAGAGAUCGGGAGGAACAUCUGUGGCGAAGGCGGCCAUCUGGGCCAGCACUGACACUGAGGCACGAAAGCGUGGGGAGCAAACAGG
RNAcentral lists this ribosomal RNA (253 nucleotides) under uncultured bacterium. RNAcentral's name for it is "partial 16S ribosomal RNA". It matches the Rfam family "Bacterial small subunit ribosomal RNA", at positions 524 to 776 of the family's 1533-position model. The record is from RNAcentral.